RNAcentral lists this ribosomal RNA (490 nucleotides) under uncultured bacterium. Its description in RNAcentral is "partial 16S ribosomal RNA". It matches the Rfam family "Bacterial small subunit ribosomal RNA", at positions 28 to 507 of the family's 1533-position model. The record is from RNAcentral.
GAUGAACGCUAGCGGCAGGCCUAAUACAUGCAAGUCGAACGGGAUCCAGAUCAAAGCUUGCUUUGGUUUGGUGAGAGUGGCGCACGGGUGCGUAACGCGUGAGCAACCUACCCUUGUCAGGGGGAUAGCCCGGCGAAAGUCGGAUUAAUACCGCAUGACAUCAUUGAGAGGCAUCUUUCGAUGAUCAAAGAUUUAUCGGACAAGGAUGGGCUCGCGUGACAUUAGCUAGUUGGUAAGGUAACGGCUUACCAAGGCUACGAUGUCUAGGGGCUCUGAGAGGAGAAUCCACCACACUGGUACUGAGACACGGACCAGACUCCUACGGGAGGCAGCAGUAAGGAAUAUUGGUCAAUGGACGGAAGUCUGAACCAGCCAUGCCGCGUGCAGGAAGACGGCCCUAUGGGUUGUAAACUGCUUUUAUACGGGAACAAACGUCGGUACGUGUACCGGUCUGAGUGUACCGUAAGAAUAAGGAUCGGCUAACUCCGUG